Molecule: long non-coding RNA, 3069 nt
Organism: Hipposideros armiger (great roundleaf bat)
Lineage: Eukaryota; Metazoa; Chordata; Mammalia; Chiroptera; Hipposideridae
Exons: 3
Source: RefSeq, a predicted model, not a curated record
UCUGUUCCUCUCUUCCUCAAGUACUGGUAAAUGACCUGUUCUCACUUCAGAAAUCUAACACCCUUUCCCCGGCCUUUCCUUCUUUGUCCAAAAUGUCAUAUAUACUCAAUGUUGCCUCACUGUCUUCGGAAUUUUCAUGCAUAUGUGAAUUCUCCAUGUGCAUGUAUUAAAAUUGGUUUUCUCCUGUUAAUCUGUCUCUGUUAACUUAUUACUCCAGCUAGAGGAACUUCGAAGGUGGGAGGAGAAGUAUUAAUUUUUUUUUUAGCCCCCACAAUAGGAUAGGAAUAAUAUUUCCUUCAUCAUGGUAAGUUUUAAAACAAUUGUUUAGACUGACCUCAGAGGUCUGUUCCUUUAAUCUAUGAAACAGUGAUUCUACCAUGUGGAAAAUAUUACUAAAAUCAAAUGUUAGCGUUUUUAUUAAACCAAUGAUGGAAUAGUAUACAGAGCUAUGAAACGUUCCUGUGAGAUGUGAGGUAGGUGCAUAAUUUGUACAUAAGCAUCAGAGAGUCACCACAUUGCCUGGCGAAGAAUUUCUAACGCUGUCAGUAAAAAGUCAGCUUUAAGUGUUGCUGUCAUAAUCACAGUGUUAUGAGCCAAAGGAGAUUUUUUUUUUAAAAGAGAAGAGAGUUUCGGUGAUUAGAACCUAUUACGCAAGCCUAAGAGAAGAUACUUCAGUAUCAUCAAGCUCCAGUGAAGUGAUGAAGACUUUUAUGAAGUCACUAGUACUUGAAGGAAGACAUUUUUACAUUGUAGGAAACUUUGGGUCUUCUCACAGUCUGAUUAAAUAGGGCAAAGAACUACCCAGCAUUGGGAGAGCUGAGGGCCCCCAACAGGCAGUCCGACAUUCACAGAGAUUUCUAGUUGGCUUGGCUCAAAGACUGCAUACGCUGACUGUGGAAUGGAAUGUUGAUUUUAAUAGAUCAUCUUCAACCUGUUUUACCUCUGAGUCACAAUGGCUCAAGAAAAAUAAAGAACGUGAAGCUCCUGAUAACCUGCCACCGUUUUUGGCUACAGGAUCUGUCUAUGACCUGGUCCAGUAUCUCCUAGUUCAUAGAUCUGUGCACUAUGGUCCCAGACUUCCAGUUUCCAACGUGGGAUUGUAAUUAGUCUGAUGAAGCUACAAGACGACAACAGCAUUGGGACACUGCCUGCAGUGCUUUCUGAUGAGCCGGUGACACGGCGUAUGUUAAUAAGCCCAGGGUUUGCCAACACUGUCCUAUGGAUCCGGAACAAGCAGAAUUCUCUUUGCCUUCAGGGCACUAGAAGUGUGGCGUGUGCGGAAACGCCGUUAUUCGAGCUAAUGAACUGGGGAGGAAAAACAUCCACCAGAAACCCGAGGCAAACAGUUUCCUUCCUUCUCAAAGCAAGCCUUCAGGAAUGAUGCGUUUCAUCCACGAUGAGGGUGCUUCCUUCAUCUCAAACUGUGUAUGUAAGCUGGUGUUGACUGAGUGACGGGGUGGGUCAGUAGACAAGGAGGGGCAGAGGCAGAUGAGGAAUGGCAGUUAGCUCUCUGCUCCACGACAAGCUGCUGUGGAAAACAGGCAGUAGGAGGGGCUUAUCCCCACGGGCACCUCAAGACUUUGUGAACCCCCACCCCCCACCCAAACUCGUGCUUUGCAGACCUCCCUCCACGGCCCAUCAAACAGACUGGGCAUGAAAUGGUGCCCACAAAUUGAGCUCUCAUGGUCUGAUUUGGGGUCCUGGCCUCCUAACCACUUCCUCAGUAUUCUUUGUUCAGAACGCUACACAAAUGGACUUACGGAGGCCCAGGUAAUCUCGCUUUUUCCCAAUUAUUCGUGUGAUUUAGGCAAAAUUGCAUAUUUUUUAAUUAAUUAAUUUAUUUUUGUAUGAAUUGCUUAAAUUGCAGGCAAGGAACCAAUCCAAGGUCUAUUUGCUAGAAGCCUCUCUAGGUUAGCUGAGCUUACCAUUCUCAUUUCAAUAUGAAAACUAUCAUUACAACUACUUCUCUUUGAACUCAGAAUGGAGAAGCCUGAAAAUUUGACAGUUGGUGGCAAUUUAUGUAACUUGUUCUAUUACUGUUGGCAGAAUGUGGGAAAACAUAGGAGUGAGAAUCUGAAUCGGUAAUAUAUAGACACACACAUAUACAUAUAUAUUUAUAUAAUUUUUUAACAGCAGUCAAAGACAGAAAUGGCAGAGUGUUGACACUGCAGAGGGACUCAGGGACCAUUCACUGCAUGAGGCUUUCCACCCAGAGAGACUUACUUUUUUGCCAUUAGUUACUAAUUAGUUUCUGACUGUCAAGGUGUCCCAGGAAGCACCCGCGUCCCACCCUCACUCCUCUCUGCCUUUCACCCACUCCCUUGGCCUUGGUGUCAGGGGAACACUCCCCUCACCAGCCUCCCAUGGCCUGCUGAGCCCUGUGUCUGCUCACACUGUCCCCUCCGAAAUUCCUCUCCCUUGGCUGGCGACUCACACUUUCCAGCAAGUUCUAAGUCCUGCUCCCAUCCACCUCGGGUAGGCUUCCAGUGGGGGCUGGCCCACCUCUGAACUCUGCGCUGCUGAGUCUGUGGCUUGCCCUCCCCGUGCCACAAAGACACCAUCUGUCUGCUCCCACAGACCGGUGCUCCUUAGUUAUCAAGGAGUAGAAACAGCAACUAACAUUUGUGAUAUGAUUUGGGUUCAUCGGGCCUUUGCAUGCAUUUGACCCUCAGAGAGACCCUCGAGGAGGUUCAGAUCCCAACUGACACACAUGAAAACAGAAAUAGAACUGGUCCCACAUGACAGGUGACGUGGUAGAGCUGAGGCUGGGCGUCCGUGUGACAAGCUCCGGGGAGCUGCAUCCCCCAGAGUAUGAGGCCUUGGCUUCCUCCUCUCUGUCUCUGCCAAGGACCUGUGACCCUGGGGAAAUACUGGGCAGGAGGGAGGUAAGAAGUCGGGGCGUGACCUGGGUGGUCUACCCCAUCCCAUGCCCGAAGGCCAUGAGGGGGGCCUCUUUCUACAGCUAGGUCCCCGCUACAGGGCCAAGGGGGGCUCUUCUCGGCCCCACAGUUCUGUUCUUAGAGGGAUUGGGACAUACGUGUAUACCUGUGGACGGCAGGACUAAGAAAG